RNAcentral lists this ribosomal RNA (450 nucleotides) under uncultured bacterium. RNAcentral describes it as "partial 16S ribosomal RNA". It matches the Rfam family "Bacterial small subunit ribosomal RNA", at positions 354 to 796 of the family's 1533-position model. The record is from RNAcentral.
GUGGGGAAUAUUGGACAAUGGGCGAAAGCCUGAUCCAGCCAUGCCGCGUGUGUGAAGAAGGUCUUCGGAUUGUAAAGCACUUUAAGUUGGGAGGAAGGGUAGUAACCUAAUACGUUGCUACUUUGACGUUACCGACAGAAUAAGCACCGGCUAACUUCGUGCCAGCAGCCGCGGUAAUACGAAGGGUGCAAGCGUUAAUCGGAAUUACUGGGCGUAAAGCGCGCGUAGGUGGUUCAGUAAGUUGGAAGUGAAAUCCCCGGGCUCAACCUGGGAACUGCUUUCAAAACUGCUGAGCUAGAGUACGGUAGAGGGUGGUGGAAUUUCCUGUGUAGCGGUGAAAUGCGUAGAUAUAGGAAGGAACACCAGUGGCGAAGGCGACUACCUGGACUGAUACUGACACUGAGGUGCGAAAGCGUGGGGAGCAAACAGGAUUAGAUACCCCUGUAGUCC